RNAcentral lists this ribosomal RNA (490 nucleotides) under uncultured bacterium. Its description in RNAcentral is "partial 16S ribosomal RNA". It matches the Rfam family "Bacterial small subunit ribosomal RNA", at positions 30 to 507 of the family's 1533-position model. The record is from RNAcentral.
AUUGAACGCUGGCGGCAGGCCUAACACAUGCAAGUCGAACGGUAACAGGAAGAAGCUUGCUUCUUUGCUGACGAGUGGCGGACGGGUGAGUAAUGUCUGGGAAACUGCCUGAUGGAGGGGGAUAACUACUGGAAACGGUAGCUAAUACCGCAUAACGUCGCAAGACCAAAGAGGGGGACCUUCGGGCCUCUUGCCAUCGGAUAUGCCCAGAUGGGAUUAGCUAGUAGGUGGGGUAACGGCUCACCUAGGCGACGAUCCCUAGCUGGUCUGAGAGGAUGACCAGCCACACUGGAACUGAGACACGGUCCAGACUCCUACGGGAGGCAGCAGUGGGGAAUAUUGCACAAUGGGCGCAAGCCUGAUGCAGCCAUGCCGCGUGUAUGAAGAAGGCCUUCGGGUUGUAAAGUACUGUCAGCGGGGAGGAAGGGAGUAAAGUUAAUACCUUUGCUCAUUGACGUUACCCGCAGAAGAAGCACCGGCUAACUCCGUG